RNAcentral lists this small RNA (152 nucleotides) under Shewanella oneidensis MR-1. RNAcentral describes it as "t44 RNA". The stretch from base 52 to 151 matches the Rfam family "t44 RNA". Rfam says of the family: This family consists of a number of bacterial RNA genes of between 135 and 170 bases in length. The t44 gene is found between the map and rpsB genes in all species in the full alignment apart from Shigella flexneri. The record is from RNAcentral. Lineage: Bacteria; Pseudomonadati; Pseudomonadota; Gammaproteobacteria; Alteromonadales; Shewanellaceae.
CUGCUUUUGGGCGAUAGCAAAACUAAAGAUGGCGGCCAUUAUACAUGGCAAUUUAUCUAAAUACUAAAUCACACACGUGUCGACACAUUCUUCGGGGUGCCCUCAGCUGUUAACUGCGGGGUCGAAGACAUGGGAUACGUGGAGGUCUAACC